UAGGGAAUCUUCGGCAAUGGGGGCAACCCUGACCGAGCAACGCCGCGUGAGUGAAGAAGGUUUUCGGAUCGUAAAGCUCUGUUGUAAGAGAAGAACGUGUGUGAGAGUGGAAAGUUCACACAGUGACGGUAACUUACCAGAAAGGGACGGCUAACUACGUGCCAGCAGCCGCGGUAAUACGUAGGUCCCGAGCGUUGUCCGGAUUUAGUGGGCGUAAAGCGAGCGCAGGCGGUUUAAUAAGUCUGAAGUUAAAGGCAGUGGCUUAACCAUUGUUCGCUUUGGAAACUGGUAAACUUGAGUGCAGAAGGGGAGAGUGGAAUUCCAUGUGUAGCGGUGAAAUGCGUAGAUAUAUGGGGGAACACCGGUGGCGAAAGCGGCUCUCUGGUCUGUAACUGACGCUGAGGCUCGAAAGCGUGGGGAGCAAACAGG
This 429-nucleotide ribosomal RNA is filed under the name bacterium. Its description in RNAcentral is "partial 16S ribosomal RNA". It matches the Rfam family "Bacterial small subunit ribosomal RNA", at positions 355 to 776 of the family's 1533-position model. The record is from RNAcentral.